RNAcentral lists this non-coding RNA (28 nucleotides) under Mus musculus (house mouse). Lineage: Eukaryota; Metazoa; Chordata; Mammalia; Rodentia; Muridae. The record is from RNAcentral.
GACUUGACCUGGAAACCACACUCUUGUC